RNAcentral lists this microRNA precursor (137 nucleotides) under Hordeum vulgare. RNAcentral describes it as "microRNA MIR1122". It matches the Rfam family "MIR1120/MIR1122 microRNA precursor family". The record is from RNAcentral. Lineage: Eukaryota; Viridiplantae; Streptophyta; Magnoliopsida; Poales; Poaceae.
AUAAUAUUCCCUCCAUCUCAAAAUUCUUGUCUUGGAUUUGUUUAGAUAUGCAUGUAUCUAGUCACGUUUUUAGUAUUUAGAUACAUCCAUUUAUAAACAAACCUAAGACAAGAGUUUUGGGACGGAGGGAGUAGUAA